CUGGUUGAUCCUGCCAGACCCGACUGCUAUCGGAUUGGGACUAAGCCAUGCGAGUCAACUCCGCAAGGGGUGGCGCACGGCUCAGUAACACGUAGUCAACCUACCCUGGGGACGGGGAUAACCUCAGGAAACUGAGGCUAAACCCCGAUGGGCCAUGGCUCCUGGAAUGGGCUAUGGCUGAAAUCUACAUGGCCCCAGGAUGGGACUGCGGCCGAUCAGGUUGUUGGUGGGGUAAUGGCCCACCAAGCCUAUAACCGGUGCGGGCUCUGAGAGGAGGAGCCCGGAGAUAGGCACUGAGGCAAGGGCCCAGGUCCUAUGGGGCGCAGCAGGCGCGAAACCUCCGCAAUGGGCGAAAGCCCGACGGGGUCAGUCCGAGUGGUUCCCGCUGAGGGAACCUUUUGCCAGCUGUAAACAGGCUGGCGAAUAAGGGGUGGGCAAGUUUGGUGUCAGCCGCCGCGGUAAUACCAGCACCCCGAGUGGUCGGGACGAUUAUUGGGCCUAAAGCAUCCGUAGCCGGCCCAGUAAGUCCUCCGUUAAAUCCAACGGCUCAACCGUUGGGCUGCGGGGGAUACUGCUGGGCUAGGGGACGGGAGAGGCGAGGGGUAUUCCCGGGGUAGGGGUAAAAUCCACUGAUCCCGGGAGGACCACCAGUGGCGAAGGCGCCUCGCUAGAACGUGCCCGACGGUGAGGGAUGAAAGCUGGGGGAGCGAACCGGAUUAGAUACCCGGGUAGUCCCAGCCGUAAACGAUGUAGGCUCGGUGUUGGGCUGCCUCAGUGGCAGCCCAGUGCCGCAGGGAAGCCGUUAAGCCUACCGCCUGGGGAGUACGGCCGCAAGGCUGAAACUUAAAGGAAUUGGCGGGGGAGCACCAC
Molecule: ribosomal RNA, 870 nt
Filed under: uncultured archaeon
Lineage: Archaea
Description: bacterial SSU rRNA
Rfam family: Archaeal small subunit ribosomal RNA
Source: RNAcentral